RNAcentral lists this ribosomal RNA (253 nucleotides) under uncultured bacterium. RNAcentral's name for it is "partial 16S ribosomal RNA". It matches the Rfam family "Bacterial small subunit ribosomal RNA", at positions 524 to 776 of the family's 1533-position model. The record is from RNAcentral.
UACAGAGGUCUCAAGCGUUGUUCGGAUUCAUUGGGCGUAAAGGGUGUGUAGGUGGCGCGCUAAGUCGGGUGUGAAAUUUCGGAGCUUAACUCCGAAACUGCAUUCGAUACUGGCGUGCUUGAGGACUGGAGAGGAGACUGGAAUUCAUGGUGUAGCAGUGAAAUGCGUAGAUAUCUGGAGGAAUACCGGUGGCGAAGGCGGCAUCCUGGACCGACAUUGACGCUGAGGAGCGAAAGCCAGGGGAGCAAACGGG